RNAcentral lists this long non-coding RNA (215 nucleotides) under Homo sapiens (human). RNAcentral describes it as "HSALNT0222431". Lineage: Eukaryota; Metazoa; Chordata; Mammalia; Primates; Hominidae. The record is from RNAcentral.
UGGGAAUAAGAAUAAACCUUAAAGCCAUCAUUAACCACAAUGACAGUGGCAGCAGCAGAGGUCCUUAAAAUGUAAACUUUGCACACCCAACCAUACUUGGUGGAAGAAGUCGAUGGAAAACAUUCUUCUAAGGACCAAGGCUGGGAUAUGCCACUUCCAUGAGCCAGUGCCCUGAAGCUUCACUCUGAGCAUAACAAGCAGAGUCCCUCUGGUCC